RNAcentral lists this transfer RNA (74 nucleotides) under Trichlorobacter thiogenes. Its description in RNAcentral is "Geobacter thiogenes tRNA_Gln_CTG". It matches the Rfam family "tRNA". From Rfam's summary of the family: Transfer RNA (tRNA) molecules are approximately 80 nucleotides in length. Their secondary structure includes four short double-helical elements and three loops (D, anti-codon, and T loops). Further hydrogen bonds mediate the characteristic L-shaped molecular structure. tRNAs have two regions of fundamental functional importance: the anti-codon, which is responsible for specific mRNA codon recognition, and the 3' end, to which the tRNAs corresponding amino acid is attached (by aminoacyl-tRNA synthetases). tRNAs cope with the degeneracy of the genetic code in two manners: having more than one tRNA (with a specific anti-codon) for a particular amino acid; and 'wobble' base-pairing, i.e. permitting non-standard base-pairing at the 3rd anti-codon position. Lineage: Bacteria; Pseudomonadati; Thermodesulfobacteriota; Desulfuromonadia; Geobacterales; Geobacteraceae. The record is from RNAcentral.
UGGGGUGUCGCCAAGUGGUAAGGCAACGGACUCUGACUCCGUCAUCGCAGGUUCGAAUCCUGCUACCCCUGCCA